UCAUAACAUAAAAUUAAAAAUGUAAAUGAUUGAAGAGAUAGAAAUCACCAACCUCAAUUGUAUUUGUUCAAGGCAGCAACCUCUCUCCACUCCAAAAGUUUCCAAAAAUUCAAUUUUGAUUCAAAAGCAUUGAAUUUUACACCACUACAACCUCAACUUUGAAGUGCUUGUACUUAGAAAUUUUCACUAUAAAAUAAUUAUCCAGGGCUAAGAAAUGCCUUGUCAAAGACAAGAUACACAAAACUGCCAAGGCAGUGAACUCUCUUGUGUUCGAAAAUUCACCACAAAUUCGUUAUAUCUCCAAAUUGAGCGUAUAAUAUCUUUUUAGAAAGCUAACAGCAAGAUACAUGCAUUUCCAAAGUUUCAACUUCAACUAUAAAACACCCAAAAACUGAUUGAAAAAAAUCUGAAGCAAAUCAACAUUCUACUCAACAACAAAACUUAUGAUUAUCUUUUGAUUUUUAAAAAUUUGAAGGCCUUGUUUACACUAACAAGGAGAGAAGUAGAAAACUUACAAAUAAUGAAGACUAAUUUACAAUGCUCACACAACAAGUCCAAGCAAGAUCAUUCACAAAAAACUCACUUCACAUUCUCACACACCAUUAGAAGCACC
This 613-nucleotide long non-coding RNA is filed under the name Physcomitrium patens. Its description in RNAcentral is "long non-coding RNA (PPAT_LNC002054)". Lineage: Eukaryota; Viridiplantae; Streptophyta; Bryopsida; Funariales; Funariaceae. The record is from RNAcentral.